Molecule: ribosomal RNA, 877 nt
Filed under: uncultured bacterium
Lineage: Bacteria
Description: bacterial SSU rRNA
Rfam family: Bacterial small subunit ribosomal RNA
Source: RNAcentral
CAGGCGGUUAGAUAAGUNUGAAGUUAAAGGCUGUGGCUUAACCAUAGUACGCUUUGGAAACUGUUUAACUNGAGUGCAGAAGGGGAGAGUGGANUUCCAUGUGUAGCGGUGAAAUGCGUAGAUAUAUGGAGGAACACCGGUGGCGAAAGCGGCUCUCUGGUCUGUAACUGACGCUGAGGCUCGAAAGCGUGGGGAGCGAACAGGAUUAGAUACCCUGGUAGUCCACGCCGUAAACGAUGAGUGCUAGGUGUUAGGCCCUUUCCGGGGCUUAGUGCCGCAGCUAACGCAUUAAGCACUCCGCCUGGGGAGUACGACCGCAAGGUUGAAACUCAAAGGAAUUAACGGGGGCCCGCACAAGCGGUGGAGCAUGUGGUUUAAUUCGAAGCAACGCGAAGAACCUUACCAGGUCUUGACAUCCCGAUGCCCGCUCUAGAGAUAGAGUUUUACUUCGGUACAUCGGUGACAGGUGGUGCAUGGUUGUCGUCAGCUCGUGUCGUGAGAUGUUGGGUUAAGUCCCGCAACGAGCGCAACCCUUAUUGUUAGUUGCCAUCAUUCAGUUGGGCACUCUAGCGAGACUGCCGGUAAUAAACCGGAGGAAGGUGGGGAUGACGUCAAAUCAUCAUGCCCCUUAUGACCUGGGCUACACACGUGCUACAAUGGCUGGUACAACGAGUCGCAAGUCGGUGACGGCAAGCUAAUCUCUUAAAGCCAGUCUCAGUUCGGAUUGUAGGCUGCAACUCGCCUACAUGAAGUCGGAAUCGCUAGUAAUCGCGGAUCAGCACGCCGCGGUGAAUACGUUCCCGGGCCUUGUACACACCGCCCGUCACACCACGAGAGUUUGUAACACCCGAAGUCGGUGAGGUAACCUUUUAGGAGC